AUUGAACGCUGGCGGCAGGCCUAACACAUGCAAGUCGAGCGGAGCGGCUGACGGGUGAGUAAUGCCUAGGAAUCUGCCUUGUAGUGCUGGAUAACGUCCGGAUACGGGAGCUGAUACCGCAUCCUAUCAGAUGAGCCUAGGUCGGAUUAGCUCGUUGGGGGGGUAAAGGGCUUCCAAGGCGACGAUCCGUAACUGGUCUGAGAGGAUGAUCAGUCACACUGGAACUGAGACACGGUACAGACGCCUAAGGGAGGCAGGAGAGGGGAAUAUUGGGGAAUGGGCGAAAGCCGGAUCCAGCCAUGCCGGCGGUGUCAAGAAGGUGUUCAGGUUUUAAAGCACUUAAAGUUGGGAGGGGGUACCAACAGAAUAAGCACCGGCUAACUACGUGCCAGCAGCCGCGGUAAUUC
RNAcentral lists this ribosomal RNA (407 nucleotides) under uncultured bacterium. RNAcentral's name for it is "partial 16S ribosomal RNA". It matches the Rfam family "Bacterial small subunit ribosomal RNA", at positions 30 to 526 of the family's 1533-position model. The record is from RNAcentral.